AAGGAUUAUUAUUCGGAACAUCUUCGUAGAAGAUGAAAGYGGAAUAACGGUGACAUAUUGCAUUUAGUUUUGAAUGCUCAUUCGAGUAUUCAAGAUUGCACAUUGAAAACUAGAUAGUAAGUAUAGAUGAAUUAAUCUAUUAUAGAUUUUACCAAGCAAAACCGAGUGAAUUAGAGUUUUUAAAAGCUUGAAUUCAAAAAUAAUCGCUAGUGUUCAAUAGAACACUCACAGAUUAAUAACUAAGGUUUUAAGUGGUUGACUUAAAACAAUUSA
Molecule: unclassified non-coding RNA, 273 nt
Filed under: Staphylococcus pettenkoferi
Lineage: Bacteria; Bacillati; Bacillota; Bacilli; Caryophanales; Staphylococcaceae
Description: 16S-23S ribosomal RNA intergenic spacer
Source: RNAcentral